CUGGGUGCCUGUGUUCCUUUGCAGAGUCUGUGGUCAUUGGGGGUCCUCUUGGAGUCUGCUGUGCCAGCGACCUGCAGAGCCGGAGCAGCACACA
This is a long non-coding RNA of Gopherus evgoodei (Goodes thornscrub tortoise), 94 nucleotides long. RefSeq lists it as uncharacterized. The record is from RefSeq and is a predicted model, not a curated record. NCBI's taxonomy places the organism in Eukaryota, Metazoa, Chordata, Testudines, Testudinidae. The transcript has 3 exons.